Triplophysa rosa is the source of this 328-nucleotide long non-coding RNA. RefSeq lists it as uncharacterized. NCBI's taxonomy places the organism in Eukaryota, Metazoa, Chordata, Actinopteri, Cypriniformes, Nemacheilidae. The transcript has 3 exons. The record is from RefSeq and is a predicted model, not a curated record.
UAGAAACCUCUGAAACUAAUAGAUCCCUCGGAGGGGUAUGGGUUAUCCGAUCCUUUUUAGUCGCUGGUAGAAAUGUUACGCUGGCCCUUUAAGAGGUGAUAAUGAGCUGAGGAGUCUUGCUCUUGUGUUCCUCCGGUGAGCAGCGCGGUUGAUCAGGCGGCUCGAACAGUGCUCGCGUGGUAAAGGGAUACUUUUGAAGAGCAGGGGAGAAAGUGUUUCAUAAGGCCCUCGUGUGUGUGCUCCAGGAACCGCGAGACACAUCGAGAGAAAGAGGCGAGUUUGUCACAUGCUGUGUUAGUGUGUUGUGCACCAGCGUGAAGAAACAACA